This 497-nucleotide ribosomal RNA is filed under the name uncultured bacterium. RNAcentral's name for it is "partial 16S ribosomal RNA". It matches the Rfam family "Bacterial small subunit ribosomal RNA", at positions 28 to 507 of the family's 1533-position model. The record is from RNAcentral.
GAUGAACGCUGGCGGCGUGCCUAAUACAUGCAAGUCGAGCGAACAGACGAGGAGCUUGCUCCUCUGACGUUAGCGGCGGACGGGUGAGUAACACGUGGAUAACCUACCUAUAAGACUGGGAUAACUUCGGGAAACCGGAGCUAAUACCGGAUAAUAUAUUGAACCGCAUGGUUCAAUAGUGAAAGACGGUUUUGCUGUCACUUAUAGAUGGAUCCGCGCCGCAUUAGCUAGUUGGUAAGGUAACGGCUUACCAAGGCGACGAUGCGUAGCCGACCUGAGAGGGUGAUCGGCCACACUGGAACUGAGACACGGUCCAGACUCCUACGGGAGGCAGCAGUAGGGAAUCUUCCGCAAUGGGCGAAAGCCUGACGGAGCCAUGCCGCGUGAGUGAUGAAGGUCUUCGGAUCGUAAACCUCUGUUAUUAGGGAAGAACAAAUGUGUAAGUAACUAUGCACGUCUUGACGGUACCUAAUCAGAAAGCCCCGGCUAACUACGUG